This 74-nucleotide transfer RNA is filed under the name Pontibacter sp. BAB1700. RNAcentral's name for it is "tRNA-Thr". It matches the Rfam family "tRNA". Rfam says of the family: Transfer RNA (tRNA) molecules are approximately 80 nucleotides in length. Their secondary structure includes four short double-helical elements and three loops (D, anti-codon, and T loops). Lineage: Bacteria; Pseudomonadati; Bacteroidota; Cytophagia; Cytophagales; Hymenobacteraceae. The record is from RNAcentral.
GCGACGUAGCUCAGGGGUAGAGUACUUCCUUGGUAAGGAAGGGGUCGUGGGUUCAAUUCCCAUCGUUGGCUCAA